Molecule: ribosomal RNA, 484 nt
Filed under: uncultured bacterium
Lineage: Bacteria
Description: partial 16S ribosomal RNA
Rfam family: Bacterial small subunit ribosomal RNA
Source: RNAcentral
AUUGAACGCUGGCGGCAGGCCUAACACAUGCAAGUCGAGCGGAUGAAGGGAGCUUGCUCCUGGAUUCAGCGGCGGACGGGUGAGUAAUGCCUAGGAAUCUGCCUGGUAGUGGGGGAUAACGUCCGGAAACGGGCGCUAAUACCGCAUACGACCUGCGGGAGAAAGUGGGGGAUCUUCGGACAUCACGCUAUCAGAUGAGCCUAGGUCGGAUUAGCUAGUUGGUGGGGUAAAGGCCUACCAAGGCGACGAUCCGUAACUGGUCUGAGAGGAUGAUCAGUCACACUGGAACUGAGACACGGUCCAGACUCCUACGGGAGGCAGCAGUGGGGAAUAUUGGACAAUGGGCGAAAGCCUGAUCCAGCCAUGCCGCGUGUGUGAAGAAGGUCUUCGGAUUGUAAAGCACUUUAAGUUGGGAGGAAGGGCAGUAAGUUAAUACCUUGCUGUUUUGACGUUACCAACAGAAUAAGCACCGGCUAACUACGUG